GGCAAACUGCUCAGUAACACGUCGAUAAUUUGCCCUUAGGUCUGGAAUAACCUCGGGAAACUGAGGCUAAUACCGGAUAGAGUAAUAGUACUGGAAUGUCAUUCCUCUAAAAGUAAUGCCUAAGGAUAAGUUGGCGGCCGAUUAGGUUGUUGGUGAGGUAACGGCUCACCAAGCCAAAGAUCGGUAGGGGCCCUGAAAGGGGUAGCCCCGAGAAGGGCACUGAGAUACAGGCCCUAGCCCUACGGGGUGCAGCAGGCGCGAAACCUUUACAAUGCACGAAAGUGUGAUAAGGGGAUCCCAAGUGCUCUGGUUUUACCAGGGCUUUUGCCAAAUGUAAAUAGUUUGGCGAAUAAGUGGUGGGCAAGACUGGUGCCAGCCGCCGCGGUAACACCAGCGUCCACGAGUGGUAACCGUUUUUAUUGGGCCUAAAGCGUCCGUAGCUGUUUGGUAGAUUCUUUGUGAAAUUGUCAGGCUUAACCUGCCAACGCGCAGAGGAGACCGCCAAACUUGGAACCGGGAGGGGUUAGAGGUAUUCUAGGGGGAGCGGUAAAAUGUUAUAAUCCUUAGAGGACCACCUGUGGCGAAGGCGUCUAACCAGAACGGAUUCGACGGUGAGGGACGAAAGCUAGGGGAGCAAUCCGGAUUAGAUACCCGAGUAGUCCUAGCUGUAAACUCUGCGAGCUAGGUGUUGCACAUUCUUAGAGGAUGUGUAGUGUCGAAGCGAAGGUGUUAAGCUCGCCGCCUGGGAAGUAUGGUCGCAAGACUGAAACUUAAAGGAAUUGGCGGGGGAGCACUACAAGGGGUGCGGCGUGCGGUUUAAUCUAAUUCAACGCAGAGAAUCUCACCAGAAGCGACGGCAGGAUGAAGGUCAGUCUAGAGGGCUUACCUGACGAGCCGAGAGGUAGUGCAUGGCCGCCGUCAGCUCGUGCCGUAAGGUGUCCUGUUAAGUCAGGCAACGAGCGAGACCUGUGCUUACAAUUGCUAACGAGUCUGCAAAGAUGGUCGAGCACAUUGUGAGAACUGCCCUGGAAACAGGGAGGAAGGUGCAGGCUACGGUAGGUCUGUAUGCUCCGAAUCUUCUGGGCUACACGCGCGCAACAAUGGUAGAGACAAUGGGAUACAACUCCGAAAGGAGAAGUUAACCCUCUAAACUCUAUCUCAGUCCAGAUUGAGGGCUGUAACUUGCCCUCAUGACGUUGGAAUCCCUAGUAAUCGGAGUUUAUCAUACUCCGGUGAAUAUGUCCCUGCUCCUUGCACACACCGCCCGUCAAGCCACCCGAGUAGGGUUUAGAUGAGGUCUUAUUUUCAAUAAGUUCAAAUCUAAACUCAGCGAGGAGGGCUAAGUCGUCACAAGGUA
Molecule: ribosomal RNA, 1357 nt
Filed under: metagenome
Description: bacterial SSU rRNA
Rfam family: Archaeal small subunit ribosomal RNA
Source: RNAcentral